GCCGGGCGCGGUGGCGCGCGCCUGUAGUCCCAGCUACUCGGGAGGCUGAGGCAGGAGGAUCGCUUGAGCCCAGGAGUUCUGGGCUGUAGUGCGCUAUGCCGAUCGGGUGUCCGCACUAAGUUCGGCAUCAAUAUGGUGACCUCCCGGGAGCGGGGCACCACCAGGUUGCCUAAGGAGGGGUGAACCGGCCCAGGUCGGAAACGGAGCAGGUCAAAACUCCCGUGCUGAUCAGUAGAAUGGACUCCAGUAUUGACUGACAGCGUUUCACUGAGUUAAAGAAAGUGUGGU
RNAcentral lists this signal recognition particle RNA (288 nucleotides) under Suricata suricatta (meerkat). RNAcentral's name for it is "Metazoan signal recognition particle RNA (ENSSSUG00005003071.1)". It matches the Rfam family "Metazoan signal recognition particle RNA". From Rfam's summary of the family: The signal recognition particle (SRP) is a universally conserved ribonucleoprotein. It is involved in the co-translational targeting of proteins to membranes. Lineage: Eukaryota; Metazoa; Chordata; Mammalia; Carnivora; Herpestidae. The record is from Rfam by way of RNAcentral.